UUUAGGUUCAGAGGGAGGUAUGAAUGUACGGGCUACAUUUAGAACUGGUGUAGGUUGGGAGGUUCUGGUGAUUGAGGGUGAAAUAUCAGAGGUGGUAUAAAUAGGUUGUGAAGGGAGAGGGUUAGAAGAAGCCAUCAGAGGAUUAGAGGUAACAGGAGGAACAGACGUACCAGUAGAGAUAUUCAGAGGAGCUGAAGAUUUGCUUCCAGA
RNAcentral lists this long non-coding RNA (210 nucleotides) under Lathyrus oleraceus (garden pea). RNAcentral's name for it is "Pisum sativum (pea) long non-coding RNA (PSAT_LNC022043)". Lineage: Eukaryota; Viridiplantae; Streptophyta; Magnoliopsida; Fabales; Fabaceae. The record is from RNAcentral.